RNAcentral lists this ribosomal RNA (997 nucleotides) under epibiont metagenome. RNAcentral describes it as "bacterial SSU rRNA". It matches the Rfam family "Bacterial small subunit ribosomal RNA", at positions 506 to 1511 of the family's 1533-position model. The record is from RNAcentral.
GAUCAGUUGAUGUCGGGUAAUACGGAGGGUGCAAGCGUUACUCGGAAUCACUGGGCGUAAAGCGCAUGUAGGCGGUUGUUUAAGUUAGAAGUGAAAGCCUACGGCUCAACCGUGGAACAGCUUCUAAAACUGAAUGACUAGAGUCUGGGAGAGGAAGAUGGAAUUAGUAGUGUAGGGGUAAAAUCCGUAGAGAUUACUAGGAAUACCGAAAGCGAAGGCGAUCUUCUGGAACAGGACUGACGCUGAGAUGCGAAAGCGUGGGGAGCAAACAGGAUUAGAUACCCUGGUAGUCCACGCCCUAAACGAUGAAUGUUAGUCGUUGGAGUGCUAGCCACUUCAGUGAUGCAGCUAACGCAUUAAACAUUCCGCCUGGGGAGUACGGCCGCAAGGUUAAAACUCAAAGGAAUAGACGGGGACCCGCACAAGUGGUGGAGCAUGUGGUUUAAUUCGAAGAUACGCGAAGAACCUUACCUGGCCUUGACAUAUACCAGAACCUGCCAGAGAUGGUGGGGUGCCUUCGGGAACUGGUAUACAGGUGCUGCACGGCUGUCGUCAGCUCGUGUCGUGAGAUGUUGGGUUAAGUCCCGCAACGAGCGCAACCCUCGUGACUAGUUACUAACAGCAUAGGCUGAGGACUCUAUCAGACUGCCUUCGUAAGGAGGAGGAAGGUGAGGACACGUCAGUCAUCAUGGCCUUAACGGCCAGGGGCGACACACGUGCUUACAAUGGGAAGGACAAAGAGAAGCAAAAUUGUGAGGUGGACAAAUCUAUAAACCGUGCUCUCAAGUUCGGGAUUGCAGUUCUGGGAAUUCGAUUGUUGAAGGUGGGAAUCCUUAAUUCAUCCGUGAUUCAGCCAUGUCCCCGGGGAAUAACGUUCCCCGGGGUCUUGGAAAUCAACAGGGCCGGGUAAACCAUGGGGAAGUUGGAAUUCACCCCGAAAGGGGGAUGCUAACAAUAGGCUACCGGCCCAGGGGGAAUUAACGCACCGGGGGUAAAC